GAUGAAGAACGUAGCGAAAUGCGAUAAGUAAUGCGAAUUGCAGAAUUCCGUGAGUCAUCGAAUCUUUGAACGCACAUUGCGCCCGCGAGUAUUCUCGCGGGCAUGCCUGUCCGAGCGUCAUUUCAACCCUCAGGGCCCGCCUGCUUCGGCAGGCGCGGCGCUGGUGUUGGGGAUCGGCCUAACCGCCGUCCCCCAAAUACAGUGGCGGUCUCGCUGCAGCCUCCCCUGCGUAGUAGCAACACUCGCAUGCGGAGCGCGGCGCGGCCACGCCGUAAAACCCCCGACUUUCUGAACGUUGACCUCGGAUCAGGUAGGAAUACCCGCUGAACUUAAGCAUAUCAAUAAGCGGAGGA
RNAcentral lists this unclassified non-coding RNA (353 nucleotides) under soil metagenome. RNAcentral's name for it is "partial contains 5.8S ribosomal RNA, internal transcribed spacer 2, and large subunit ribosomal RNA". The stretch from base 1 to 120 matches the Rfam family "5.8S ribosomal RNA", at positions 35 to 154 of the family's 154-position model. The record is from RNAcentral.